Molecule: long non-coding RNA, 438 nt
Filed under: Brachypodium distachyon (stiff brome)
Lineage: Eukaryota; Viridiplantae; Streptophyta; Magnoliopsida; Poales; Poaceae
Description: long non-coding RNA (BDIS_LNC003693)
Source: RNAcentral
GCAGAAGAAGCUCCAAUUUGAAAGAGCCGCUAACAAUCAAUUGAGGUCCCGGGGAUAAUCAUCAGAAUUCGUCGUAAUUUCUUAUGCUAGCAAUGAGUGGUGCUCCGGAUGCCAUGCCGUGCCGUUUUUUUUCCUUCCGUGGUUGCUAUGUUAACAAACGAUGAUUAAAGAGAGAUAGUUUUUUUCUUGUCCGUUCCUUGCAUUGGUGGAGGACAAACAAAUUUUGAGGUAGGGCGAAUUCCUAUCAUAACACCAUGAGUUAAUAUAUAUAUAUCACAUUUAAUAUUUUUUAAGUUUGCAAAAAAUAUUUCAAUUAAUUUGGUUUUUCAGACUUUUUAGGAUUUUUUUUAUUGUUACAUCUUAUGAUAUAUCGCCUAGUGAUAUUUAUGUUAAUUAUUAAUUUUCAUCAUAUUAUAUGUGAAAUCAACCAUAAUCGAA